Molecule: transfer RNA, 76 nt
Filed under: Pseudomonadota bacterium
Lineage: Bacteria; Pseudomonadati; Pseudomonadota
Description: tRNA-Leu
Rfam family: tRNA
About the family: Transfer RNA (tRNA) molecules are approximately 80 nucleotides in length.
Source: RNAcentral
AGGCGUGUAGCUCAGUGGCAGAGCGCUGCUGCAACAUGGCAGAGGUCGGGGGUUCAAUUCCUUCCCGCGCCUACCA